UUUCCGUAGGUGAACCUGCGGAAGGAUCAUUAUUGAAUGAACUUCGUGUGGUUGUAGCUGGCCCUCUCGUCGGGGCCAUGUGCACACCCGCCAUCUUUAUCUCUCCACCUGUGCACAUCUUGUAGACCUGGAUAGACUUUCCGAGGCAACUCGGUCGGAGGGACUGCUGUGCGUCACUGCCGGCUUUCCUUGCAUAUCUAGGCCUAUGUUUUCAUAUACCCCAUAGUAUGUAACAGAAUGUAUCAUUGGGCCUCGUGCCUAUAAACUAUAUACAACUUUCAGCAACGGAUCUCUUGGCUCUC
Molecule: unclassified non-coding RNA, 302 nt
Filed under: plant metagenome
Description: partial contains small subunit ribosomal RNA, internal transcribed spacer 1, and 5.8S ribosomal RNA
Source: RNAcentral